RNAcentral lists this ribosomal RNA (404 nucleotides) under Actinomycetes bacterium. RNAcentral's name for it is "Actinobacteria bacterium partial 16S ribosomal RNA". It matches the Rfam family "Bacterial small subunit ribosomal RNA", at positions 355 to 776 of the family's 1533-position model. Lineage: Bacteria; Bacillati; Actinomycetota; Actinomycetes. The record is from RNAcentral.
UGGGGAAUAUUGGACAAUGGGCGCAAGCCUGAUCCAGCCAUGCCGCGUGAGUGAUGAAGGCCCUAGGGUUGUAAAGCUCUUUCACCGGUGAAGAUAAUGACGGUAACCGGAGAAGAAGCCCCGGCUAACUUCGUGCCAGCAGCCGCGGUAAUACGAAGGGGGCUAGCGUUGUUCGGAUUUACUGGGCGUAAAGCGCACGUAGGCUGACUUUUAAGUCAGGGGUGAAAUCCCGGGGCUCAACCCCGGAACUGCCUUUGAUACUGGAAGUCUUGAGUAUGGUAGAGGUGAGUGGAAUUCCGAGUGUAGAGGUGAAAUUCGUAGAUAUUCGGAGGAACACCAGUGGCGAAGGCGGCUCACUGGACAAUUACUGACGCUGAGGUGCGAAAGCGUGGGGAGCAAACAGG